RNAcentral lists this ribosomal RNA (613 nucleotides) under uncultured bacterium. Its description in RNAcentral is "bacterial SSU rRNA". It matches the Rfam family "Bacterial small subunit ribosomal RNA", at positions 338 to 959 of the family's 1533-position model. The record is from RNAcentral.
CCUACGGGAGGCAGCAGUAAGGAAUAUUGGUCAAUGGACGCAAGUCUGAACCAGCCAUGCCGCGUGAAGGAUUAAGGUCCUCUGGAUUGUAAACUUCUUUUAUCUGGGACGAAAAAAGGCGAUUCUUCGUCACUUGACGGUACCAGAUGAAUAAGCACCGGCUAACUCCGUGCCAGCAGCCGCGGUAAUACGGAGGGUGCAAGCGUUAUCCGGAUUCACUGGGUUUAAAGGGUGCGUAGGCGGGCAGGUAAGUCAGUGGUGAAAUCCUAGAGCUUAACUCUAGAACUGCCAUUGAUACUAUCUGUCUUGAAUAUUGUGGAGGUAAGCGGAAUAUGUCAUGUAGCGGUGAAAUGCUUAGAUAUGACAUAGAACACCUAUUGCGAAGGCAGCUUACUACGCAUAUAUUGACGCUGAGGCACGAAAGCGUGGGGAUCAAACAGGAUUAGAUACCCUGGUAGUCCACGCCCUAAACGAUGAUUACUCGACAUUUGUGAUACACUAUAAGUGUCUGAGCGAAAGCAUUAAGUAAUCCACCUGGAAGUACGACCGCAAGGUUGAAACUCAAAGGAAUUGACGGCGNGAGAGNGCGACGGACGACGACGAGGGGAGGAGG